UGAUAAUCUUUCUUAAGUGGUAUUAUGUGGGUAAAUAUUACUGAUAUUAGUGUUUUGAAAAUUAUAUAACAUUCCUAAAAUUCUGAUCUGUCCUGGCUAUCAGCCAUAAUUCUAAAUAUUAUUUUAGGGUGUUGUAUAUCAGAAAUAAUAAGUUUCUCUGUCAAUUGUCAUUUUCAAGUCUUUUGUUGUUUACAGUCAGUUGUUUUACUCUGAUGCUUUUUGCUUUUGCAAAUACUUCUCAUCUUCAGAGACAUUCAUGGAAAAGACUCUGACACUUACUCUGGAUUACAGUUUUCUGAUAAACUUUCAGAUCACAGAACUGAACUGGAUUUAAGGAAAUCUUUUCUCUUACGCUGACUAUGACUUACAGCAAUUUAGUGAUAGUAUACCUUUAUGAGCAAAACUGAAACAUUUAUCUUUUUCUCCCUACCUGAUCCCUCCAGAAUUUGGAAACCUAGUAAGUGAGUGAGUAUGGUUGUUUCACGGCAAUAUUGUUAUUUGCAUAAGUUCAAUAAGAAUCUGUUCUCCUUAUAACAGGACACAUUUGUUAUCUUACCAAAGCUUUGAC
Molecule: long non-coding RNA, 568 nt
Filed under: Equus caballus (horse)
Lineage: Eukaryota; Metazoa; Chordata; Mammalia; Perissodactyla; Equidae
Description: lncRNA (ENSECAG00000047935.1)
Source: RNAcentral